UAGAAAGAUACUGGAUAAAUAGUAUGGUGU
Molecule: non-coding RNA, 30 nt
Filed under: Rattus norvegicus (Norway rat)
Lineage: Eukaryota; Metazoa; Chordata; Mammalia; Rodentia; Muridae
Source: RNAcentral